UACGGAGGGUGCAAGCGUUAAUCGGAAUUACUGGGCGUAAAGCGCACGCAGGCGGUUUGUUAAGUCAGAUGUGAAAUCCCCGGGCUCAACCUGGGAAAUGCAUCUGAUACUGGCAAGCUUGAGUCUCGUAGAGGUGGGUAGAAUUCCAGGUGUAGCGGUGAAAUGCGUAGAGAUCUGGAGGAAUACCGGUGGCGAAGGCGGCCCCCUGGACGAAGACUAACGCUCAGGUGCGAAAGCGUGGGGAGCAAACAGG
RNAcentral lists this ribosomal RNA (253 nucleotides) under uncultured bacterium. Its description in RNAcentral is "partial 16S ribosomal RNA". It matches the Rfam family "Bacterial small subunit ribosomal RNA", at positions 524 to 776 of the family's 1533-position model. The record is from RNAcentral.